GAGGGCAUAGCUCAGUGGUAGAGCGCUUGCUUAGCAUGCACAGGAUCCUGGGUUCCAUCCCCAGUACCUCCA
This 72-nucleotide transfer RNA is filed under the name Camelus bactrianus (Bactrian camel). It matches the Rfam family "tRNA". Rfam says of the family: Transfer RNA (tRNA) molecules are approximately 80 nucleotides in length. Lineage: Eukaryota; Metazoa; Chordata; Mammalia; Artiodactyla; Camelidae. The record is from Rfam by way of RNAcentral. RNAcentral also lists the same sequence under 2 other names.